AGCAGCCGCCGCGGGAAUACGAAGGGUGCAAGCGUUAAUCGGAAUUACUGGGCGUAAAGCGUGCGUAGGCGGUGAGUUAAGUCUGCUGUGAAAUCCCCGGGCUCAACCUGGGAAUGGCAGUGGAUACUGGCUCGCUAGAGUGUGUCAGAGGAUGGUGGAAUACCCGGUGUAGCGGUGAAAUGCGUAGAGAUCGGGAGGAACAUCAGUGGCGAAGGCGGCCCCCUGGACAAAGACUGACGCUCAGGUGCGAAAGCGUGGGGAGCAAACAGGAUUAGAUACCCGUGUAGUCCCUGUCUCUUAUAA
Molecule: ribosomal RNA, 303 nt
Filed under: uncultured bacterium
Lineage: Bacteria
Description: partial 16S ribosomal RNA
Rfam family: Bacterial small subunit ribosomal RNA
Source: RNAcentral